UCUUCCUCUUCCAUUAUAAUACCAUAAAUCUUCUCUCUCCAAUCCCUCUUUCAUCCUCACGCAGUUUAGAGAAGAUGAAGUUAUUGCCAUGGUUGGGUCUUCAUCCUCACGCCUCUUUUCAUAGUUGCCUCUCUCUACUAAAAUUCUUCGUCUUCCUCUGAUUUUGAGCCUUUUGUAACGCUAAUUUAGCAUAUUUUGGGUCCUGUCGUCUUCAAGGAUGACAUUUGCAGCGUUAAAAUGAUGGCUGCCAUCUAGUUGUUGGAUGUAUCCGAUACAGAUUUAGAGAAACCAAAACAUCACCUCCAAUUCAUGGGACUGUAAUUGAAGAAUUGGAAGUUUUAUUGAUUACCUCUCAAAAGAGUCCAUGAAUGAUGUUCCCAAAGGAUAAAUUAGGUGAAUGGACUUUCAAGAGUAGAAGCAGAGACGCAUUUCAUGAGGGCUACAUGUUUCCUAUGCUCGUCGCAGAGGAAUUCGAUGUUUACCGGAGAAAAAUGUCCAUCGGUGAAUAUGGGGCUUGGGAAAAGAUGGAAGUGGCAUGGUAGACCCUGUCCAAGUUCAGGUCAUGGAUACUAGAGCGGUUACAGGGAAAUCAACCUAAGAAGUUGGAUCCAAAACUCGAAGUGCAGGCUGGAGAUAGUUAUAAAGCUGUUAUUCAAAAGAAGGCCAUUGCCCAGUUUCGGGAAAUAUCAUAGGCGAGUUGACACGGAAGAAGCUGUUUUUCUUGGUGCUCUGCUAUUUGUUAUCCCUUUUGAUUUAUGUUUGUAGAACUGGUGAAAGUCACUGGAAGCAAGGUUAAUUUAUCACUCUAGGGUUGUCAAAUAGUUGAAAUUAGAGAUUGCUUCAAUUAACUGGUGAUCUUUAUGUUAUAUUAUGGUUACUUGAUUUGUCCCUUCGUCUCCAAUGCCAUUAUUUAAUUGCAAUUUGUAGUUUGGAUAGUUUAUUGUAGUUUCGAGCUGUAUAGAGGAUGCAACAAGAACUCUUUAAUCUUUACUCUUUUUUAGUUAGGUGGUGUUGUAUCACAUUUUAAUGUUCAAGUGUAUUGAUUCAAAAAUUUUUAAUGAAAUUAUUAAUUUUUAUGCAA
This is a long non-coding RNA of Olea europaea var. sylvestris, 1081 nucleotides long. RefSeq lists it as uncharacterized. The record is from RefSeq and is a predicted model, not a curated record. The transcript has 5 exons. NCBI's taxonomy places the organism in Eukaryota, Viridiplantae, Streptophyta, Magnoliopsida, Lamiales, Oleaceae.